UAAAUAAAUAAAUAAAUAAGAAUAAAAAGGGGAAAAAAGAAGAAAAAAAGAAAAUGAAAAAAAAAAAAAAAAAACUUUCUACAGCAUUUUUUGGAAUGUCUAUUUCGUGCAUUUCUUAUGUAAUACAACAAUGGCUUUAAAUGAUUUUUUGUCCGUAAUUUCCCAGCCAAAUUUGAUGUGCAUAUUUAAAGUUUAAUUAAAGGCUUUUUAUUUGGCAAAUGUUUAUGUAAAAGGACCGUAGACAUCAACUUAAUAUCAAUAGCAUUAGGGAAUCAAACAUGCACAUUCAAUUUAAAUAAAUAUUUAAAAUGCUCAGAAGCAAUAAUAAAGUUAUCAAUAGUCCAUUUUUACAUGCGUGACAGUGCAGGUAAACUUCAGACUUUCUGAGGAUAUUGCAUGAGGUGUUGGUCACACAAUUUGGCUGCAAUAUAAUGCUUUGCUGCAGGAACUGUGUAAUGUUGAUGAGCUGUUUGAAUAUGAAAAAUUGUCUGCUGCACCUGAUCCAGGCUGGCCAGAUUGCUUUAUUUGUGUUUAGGUCCUCCCUGAAUACCCACAUCCAAAUACUGGAACACGCCGCACAGCACGACAGCUUUGAUGGUGAAUCACACGGUUAUAUUUAGCUGAUAUUACAUUCAAAUAUUUUAAGUUCAGUCUAAAUUUGAAUGCGCUCAAAGCCUAUUGGAACUUGAAUUAGCCUCAAAUGCCAUUUUGUCACAUUUAUAUUUUUUAAUCUUUAAAACAAGAACACCAUAUAUUACCAUUCAAAAGUUUCAGUAAGAUUUUAUUUGAAAGCAAUUAAUACUUUUAUUCAGUAAGCAUUUAUUAAAUUGAUCCAAAGUGACAGUAAAGACAUUUAAGGAUUCAAAUAAAUGCUGUUCUUUAGAAUUUUCUAUUCAUAGACAUUACUAUGUCAUGUCUUGUCAGGUUUAGGAGGAGACCAGGGUGUUUUAAACACUUUCUUCAGUGACUGAAAAGUGAAAGAUAUCAAAAAGCAUUUACCAUUUGUGUACAACCUCACAGUAGGUGCUGUUUACACACAUCUGCCAGCAUUUCAGAAGUAAGCUUUCAUGCAAACUUUUAUUAUGUAUACCAGUUAUUCCUGAUGUUAUGUAUUUGUGUACUGUUUAGUAACUAAUCACAUUAAACACAUAUACAGUACAUGUAUGAGAGAUGCAUUCUGGUUUUGUACAGGUAUGGCCACCAUGCAAAAAAUUGUCCAUUUUUUGGGUGGGAUCAAGCCCUGGCACCUUAAAUGACUUUCAUAUGACCCACAAGCUGUCAAUGAGUCAUCUUUUAGGGAUUCCAUCAGAACUUUCCGCAAUUUUUACAUUUAUGGUGGGUGGAGUACUACUGUCAAAGACAGCUACAAGUUAAAAGGGAUGAAAAGAAUGAAGACUAUAAGACUGCACUCACAUCAGAUAUCUGGUUUUUAUUUUGUAAAUAGUAAUGAUAUCUACAUGGCCCAUUUGACUGUUCUCAUUAAGAAAGAUGUAAAUGGCUUUGAACCACAUGAGGGUGAGUAAAUGAUGACUGAAUUUUCCUUUUUGGGUAAACUCUCAUUUUAACUCACCAUUAGCAUAGUUAUCUAAUUUAAUGGACCUAUUGUAUUUAAACUGCCAGUCAUCUCUAAUCGUUCUUUUGGUUUGUAGUCAGUGCAGAAUUUGGUUUCUCCACAGACACAUCAGACUCCAUCACAAAGCCAAAAGAGCAGCACUGGAGCCCACCACAGAGAGAUGAUGACACCCUCUCCACCUCUCCAAGAUCUGACUUUGGACUCACUGACAAUCUGCUCAUCUCAAAUAAUAUUGUCUUUGAUGUCUUUUCUGGAGGGGAGAUUGGAGAGACCCCUGUAGUCAGCCCUCCAUCUGAGCAAGAGAGUGAGUGCACAGAACCAGAGACUGCUGAUGAUUCUGCCGCUGCCACUGGAGAAGCUGCAGCUGCUGAGACAGUGGUGGACGACUCAGAGCAUCAGCACAUGUGGGAGGAAGGUCAUGUUGAUUAUAUUGGCAAAGACGCUUUUAACAGCAUCAAGAGGAAACUUGACCUGUUUCUUGAUUCAUUUUGUGUGGAUGUGCUGGAUGUGUUUAUGAGAUUAUGUAAAACACUGUCAAUAUAUAGUUCCGUUUAUACUGUAUGUCCAUCAUCAUCUCAACUGUUAUAUUUUCAUCCCCUCAUAUAUAGCUGUUUUUUUCUACCUCUAUUUGCCAUAAUCACUGGAUCAUAUCAAAAAUACUAUGAAAAAUGUCUCAUAUACAAAUGUAACUUACGUUAAACUGAAUCUUAAUUCAGUUUCUGUAUUAUAAGCAUAUGUGAUAAGACCUGUCUAUAUGAUUUAGCCUUUGCUGUGAUCAUUUGUUUGCAGUUUUCUUAAAGCAUUGAUUGUAAAUAUUCUCUACAGCUUGUUAGGGGAGACAUUAUGAAUUACCAUUUCAAAUCAAUUAAUAAAUUAUUAUUAAAUCAUGAGAAAAGAACCAAGAGCAUGAUUUAGUAUUAAUUGUCAAUGCCUAACAAAAAUCAUGUAACAAAUCCUUCAACCAAGAGGAAAUGUGCCUAACAAACUAUGGUCUUCAACACAUCUUUCUUUGCAGCGCCCUACAGCAAAAUUGUCCUAUUUUUGCCACUAGAGGUCAGGCUAUAAACACUCUCUAGCUUUUAAACCCCCACAAAUUCCACUGGUAGAGCAUAACAGUCUGAGGCAAAAUUGUCAUCUAUCAAAAGUUGAUAAAUCAUAAAGGUAUUAUUCCUCUGAGUUUUAUUAAACACAUUUAUCUCUCUCCAGAGAUGCUUAACACAACCCUGACUCCAAAUCUUAUCUGCCAGACACCACAAACUUUUAUGAAGCAAACUUAGUGGCCAGACAAAGUCAAAGCCAGCAUGUUCUUUGAUGGAAACUUAUUUUUUAAACCCUUGUUUCCCAUGUUUUAAUAUUAGAUUUAUGUAUUACCCCCUGGAUCUGCCUUGUUAACAUGACAGCUCUUUGAAGUUAUUAACUAUUUAUGUUACUCAAUCAAUUAGAGAGAAUCUUU
This is a long non-coding RNA of Cyprinus carpio (common carp), 3026 nucleotides long. RefSeq lists it as uncharacterized. The record is from RefSeq and is a predicted model, not a curated record. The transcript is spliced from 3 exons. NCBI's taxonomy places the organism in Eukaryota, Metazoa, Chordata, Actinopteri, Cypriniformes, Cyprinidae.